Molecule: ribosomal RNA, 305 nt
Filed under: uncultured bacterium
Lineage: Bacteria
Description: bacterial SSU rRNA
Rfam family: Bacterial small subunit ribosomal RNA
Source: RNAcentral
CCCCCUACGGGGGGCAGCAGUGGGGAAUAUUGCACAAUGGGGGAAACCCUGAUGCAGCGACGCCGCGUGAGUGAAGAAGUAUCUCGGUACGUAAAGCUCUAUCAGCAGGGAAGAAAAUGACGGUACCUGACUAAGAAGCCCCGGCUAACUACGUGCCAGCAGACGCGGUAAUACGUAGGGGGCAAGCGUAAUCCGGAUUUACUGGUUGUACAGGGAGCGUAGACGGCAGCACAAGUCUGGAGUGAAAUCCCGGGGCUUAACCCCGGCACUGCUUUGGAAACUGUGCGGCUGGAGUGCAAGCGGGG